AUACGUAGGUGGCAAGCGUUAUCCGGAAUUAUUGGGCGUAAAGAGGGAGCAGGCGGCAGCAAGGGUCUGUGGUGAAAGCCUGAAGCUUAACUUCAGUAAGCCAUAGAAACCAGGCAGCUAGAGUGCAGGAGAGGAUCGUGGAAUUCCAUGUGUAGCGGUGAAAUGCGUAGAUAUAUGGAGGAACACCAGUGGCGAAGGCGAUGAUCUGGCCUGCAACUGACGCUCAGUCCCGAAAGCGUGGGGAGCAAAUAGGAUUAGAUACCCUAGUAGUCCACGCCGUAAACGAUGAGUACUAAGUGUUGGAUGUCAAAGUUCAGUGCUGCAGUUAACGCAAUAAGUACUCCGCCUGAGUAGUACGUUCGCAAGAAUGAAACUCAAAGGAAUUGACGGGG
This 392-nucleotide ribosomal RNA is filed under the name uncultured bacterium. RNAcentral's name for it is "partial 16S ribosomal RNA". It matches the Rfam family "Bacterial small subunit ribosomal RNA", at positions 523 to 918 of the family's 1533-position model. The record is from RNAcentral.